GUUGAACGCUGGCGGCAGGCCUAACACAUGCAAGUCGAGCGGUAGCAGGAAGCUGGUUGCUGCUUCGCGGAGGAGAGGGGGGCGGGGGAGAAAUGUGUGGGAAACUGCCGGAGGGAGGGGGGGGACAACUGGGCGCGGGUGGGAAUACCGCAUAAAGUCGCAAAAUGAAAGAGGGGGAGGUUAGGGACUCUCGCGAGCGUGUGAGGCUAGGUGGGAUUAGCUAGUCGGUGGGGGAACGGGUGACCGAGGCGAGGAUCCGUAGCUGGGGUGAGAGGAUGAGCAGCCACCCUGGAACGGAGACACGGCCCAGACCCCUACGGGAGGCAGCAGUGGGGAAUAGUGCACAAUGGGCGCAAGCCUGAUGCAGCCAUGCCGCGUGUAGGAAGAAGGCCUUCGGGUUUUAAAGUUCUUCCAGCGUGGAGGAAGGGAAUAAAGGUAAUACCUUGGCUUAUUGACGGUACCCGAAGAAUAAGCACCGGCUAACUCCGUG
Molecule: ribosomal RNA, 490 nt
Filed under: uncultured bacterium
Lineage: Bacteria
Description: partial 16S ribosomal RNA
Rfam family: Bacterial small subunit ribosomal RNA
Source: RNAcentral